GAUUCAGAAUAUCAGAAGGUAGUGUAAGCCCUGUGACUAAAAGCUGCAUUGCAUUGGCUCUGCAGGGCGAGUGGCAGCACCACCGAUGUGGCAAACACGGAAACUGGCACAGCCUGGGCACUGUGUCCCCCCUGCUUCACAGGCACUUGAACCAUUGCUUCUGGAGAAAUGCACAGGUAGACUCCUGCUUAGUAACUAAGCAACCACAUCCUCCAUUUCUAACUCACACAUUUUGAUCCUACCAGAGGAUUUGCUUUGGCAAAGUUUACAUUGAAUCAAUUGUAGAUCUGCAGUUCAAGACUGAAAUGUGCUUGUUAUAAAAUCAUGAAUUAAAUACUUCAGAGAAUAAUUGGAG
Molecule: long non-coding RNA, 355 nt
Filed under: Junco hyemalis (dark-eyed junco)
Lineage: Eukaryota; Metazoa; Chordata; Aves; Passeriformes; Passerellidae
Description: lncRNA (ENSJHYG00000018306.1)
Source: RNAcentral